CUCUCGUCACCAAACCCAUCGCUCCUCCCAUCCCAUCUCUCGCGAGAAAAAUUCCCUACCGCCAUCCAGAUCGGAGAUCACCUCAGGUCUCCUCCACCAUUCGCCUGCCUCCCCCCAAGGCUGUGGCCCGACUCAUCCUCCCCUUCGCUCACCGCACUAGCGCAGGUGCUCAUGCCUUCCUAGCGCUCAAGCGCUGCCCACAGAUAAACGAUGGCUUCAGCCGCGUCAACGAGGUCGAGGAGUCCCUGACCCAGCCCUCACCAUCACCUUCAUCGGAGGCCUUGCCCGUCUCGAUAGGGUCGGUUACUCGUUCCCUCCCCUGUCCUACCCUCCCCUGGAGGCGGCGACGCACUCCUCUCAUCUAUCUCCAAGGGAUGCCCUGCCCUCCCCUGGCGUGCUAGGGACCGAUGAUCGUGGGGAAUGUGAUCUGGUGGCGCCCGUCGAACAUCGAGAGGUGGCAGAGCCCCGCCACACACUUGUCCCCCCCUCCUCAGGAUCCUCAAUUUCUCAUCUAAAAGGUUUAUGUGGAUGGAACUACCACCAUAUCCACCCAUCCUUUUGGUUUGGUCCUGUGAUGCUGACGCACAUUGUCGUUCAUGAUCCUAUUAUUUGCCUUUUAGUUUUGACUUGUGAUGCUGACGCACGUUUUCUUUCUACAACUGUGAUAUUUCCCUCCUUCGUGGAUGUAUGCAACUGCAUGAAUGGGACAACGAAGCCGCUGUCAUGAAAGUUGUAGAGUGAUGACAGAGAUACCGAGGUGUGAAAUAAAAGGCAAAUGUGAAGCUCUUGCAUCAAUCCUCAGACUGAUUCCUGCAAAUUUUCCUACAAAACUACAACAUGGUAGUCUUGAAGUAAAUACUAUUUCUGUUAUUUUCUAUGUGUUUUUAGCACAAUAGAUAGUUAAUAUUGUUUUUACUCUCCAAGUUCAGGAUGAGGUCGACCAAUUAAGAAAACAGUUUGGUGAGAUAGAGUGGCAGGUUUGCUAGAAUCACUGUAGCUUUUUCUGGGAUGUUUUUCUUUUUUGAGGAAACUAUUUUGUUUACACCAUCCUAUUGGCAUGUCUAUGGCAUCAGUGAAACUUAAACGAACACUUCUAGGCUAGAUAUUAUUAAGGUGUACAUACAUUGAUCCUUUACAUGGAUCUUACCAUAUUUAUUUGCCAGUCAUUUGAGCUAUUUGAGAAACUUGAAGGCAAGCUCAAGGAAAUACAUCAUUACCUUUUAGUUUUAUUUUUGAGUUGUUGGAAUCAAUCUGGAAAACAUCAUCCUAUUGUAGAUACAAUAUUUACGGGUUUAUAGUCUUAUACUCUGUUUGACAUUACACAUUACGGAAAUAGUGAGAUUAUGCUUAUGCCACUAUGCUGACAGUGAUUGGCUUAUUAAUAGUAUGGAGAGGACAAGAUCGAAAAGGACGGUGAUAUAAGGAAAACGGGGAGUGGAAGAGGAAGAAAGUUGGGAUGACAAUUAUAAAUAGAAUAUCGAGUUUGAUGAUGAUGAUAAUUGGAACCAAGAGGAGGAAGCAGGUAAGUUUCAUUUGAUUUUCUGUUCAUAUGGCGGCUAAUGUGACCAGAUAUGUAAGUCUGGAUUGGUUUACUUACUUUCUUGUAGGUUCUACACUUACAGUUUUUAGUACUUGCUUCUUGUUGCCUCUCAGUGUAUCACUAAAUAAUCAGUGUUCUGGGUACUUGCUUCCUGUUGCCUCCCAGUGUAUCACUGAAUAAUCAGUUGACCAGUGUUGGCAAAGGUGCAUCGAUCCUAUUUAGUUCUGGUUCUGUAUGCCUCCCUAGAUACAACUUAUACCCAAAAAUAUUAGCAUACACAUUGAUAUCAGUUGUGGGAGACUCGGCUAUGCCGGCAAUGCCUCCAAUGUGGUGGUGGUCAUGGUGGACGCCACCAUGUGCACUUCAGCUCAUCUGGGUGUAGCCGGAGUGAUUUCCUUCGCAGUUCAAGUCCGGGCAGUUUUUUAUGUGCAUGUAAUCCUGUUUUGCUUGGUCCCUAGCAUUAUUAAUUUUAUUUUUCUACCAAUAACAACCAAGUAAUGUGUGCAUGUCCACGUCUUAGUGUAAUUCUCGGCUAGUUAGAUCUUACCGAUGCAUGUGCUUCGUGGGAUGCCACGAAUCCAGUGCAAGCAGCGUCGCUGUGGCUGGGUUCAGGUGGACAUGGGAUGGUUCAUCCGAUAUACCUACCCACUAGCUAUUCUCUCUUUUUCAGUAGUAUUUUAAAUGACAGUAGUUGACCAUAUAAAUAAGAGGAAAAAUCCAGAAAAGGUUGCAAGAUUUUUACGCAAUGCAAAUCACUUGUUUGCGUGCUCGCGUGUGUGUGUAGGUGCGCUGGUUCUUUCAUGUCCAAAUACUUGUGUAGUGUUGUGAGAGAGAUCCAGCAACUUCAGUUUUUGUCAUGCAGUUCCGUGAGUCAUAUACAUCUCUUGUGUCCUUUAGAUACAUCAUGUGUACAGGGAGCAAGCGCCACAUUGCUACAUUUAAUGCUUUGGUGUGCUCUCACGCUCCAAGCCAUUGUCCCACGCUCCAAACUGCAUAUAUUGACUGUGAUAUGAAAUUGUAAUUGCUCAUAAUUUAAAUUUUUGACACAAGGCAGGAGCCAAGAAUACUAGCUUGCCUGGGAGAAUAUAUGUAAGAGAGUAUAUUAAUUUACCUUUUGAGGGAAGAGUAUAUAAUUUAAGAAUAAGGCACAUCUGUGUGACAUGGAAGCUCUUAACAAUGGUUAGCAUAUGGUUGCCAAGUUAUUUCUAUGGUUCAUCUCAAAUUGAGCGUCUUGAUACUUCAUACGAAAAUUUGGUUGUAAAAAUUUGUUUGCCACAAGACACACUUUUUUGUAUGAAAGAAAUAUGUAUAAGAUUCCUGAAGCAUUGUCGAAAAGCAGGUUCGUAUGUCUGAGUGUCUGACAUGCCUUUCUUUUUCAGUUUUUCCUGCCAGAAAGAAAGCAAGUGACUUAUUUAAUCCCAGAGAUAUGUCCCUGUUAUCAGUUUUGAGGAGUCAUUGUUCCAGUCAUACAAAAUGUUGACAGUGUUGGAAAUAUGCCCUAGAGGCAAUAAUAAAAGUAUUAUUAUAUUUCA
Molecule: long non-coding RNA, 3072 nt
Organism: Triticum aestivum (bread wheat)
Lineage: Eukaryota; Viridiplantae; Streptophyta; Magnoliopsida; Poales; Poaceae
Exons: 3
Source: RefSeq, a predicted model, not a curated record